GGCCGAAAGGCGUAGGUGAUGGACAACAGGUUGAUAUUCCUGUACUACCGAUAACCGUUUGAGAGAAGGGAUGACACAGUAGGAUAAGCUAAGCACACUGUUGGUUAUGUGUGCCCAAGCAUUGAGGCAGUCCAAGUAGGCAAAUCCGCUUUGAUAAUGCUGGGAUGUGAUGGGGAGCGAAAUUUAGUAGCGAAGUAGCUGAUUUCACACUGUCAAGAAAAGUCUCUAUCGAGGUUAAAGGUACCCGUACCGCAAACCGACACAGGUGGGUGAGGAGAGUAUCCUAAGGCCAGCGAGAGAACUGUUGUUAAGGAACUCGGCAAAAUGACCCCGUAACUUAGGGAUAAGGGGUGCCACCAUCAGGUGGCCGCAGAGAAUAGGCCCAAGCGACUGUUUACCAAAAACAUAGGUUUCUGCUAAGUCGCAAGACGAUGUAUAGGAGCUGACGCCUGCCCGGUGCUGGAAGGUUAAGGGGAUCUGUUAGAGCAAUCGAAGCAGUGAACUUAAGCCCCAGUAAACGGCGGCCGUAACUAUAACGGUCCUAAGGUAGCGAAAUUCCUUGUCGGGUAAGUUCCGACCCGCACGAAAGGCGUAACGAUUUGGGCACUGUCUCAACAACAGACUCGGUGAAAUUGUAAUUCCGGUGAAGAUGCCGGAUACCUGCGACAGGACGGAAAGACCCCAUGGAGCUUUACUGUAGCUUGACAUUGGGUCUUGGUACUACAUGUACAGGAUAGGUGGGAGGCUUUGAAACCAGGACGCCAGUUUUGGCGGAGCCAUCCUUGGGAUACCACCCUUGUAGUACUGGGACUCUAACCAUAGGCCAUGAAUCUGGUCUUGGGACACUGUCAGGUGGGCAGUUUGACUGGGGCGGUCGCCUCCCAAAAGG
Molecule: ribosomal RNA, 889 nt
Filed under: Clostridioides difficile
Lineage: Bacteria; Bacillati; Bacillota; Clostridia; Peptostreptococcales; Peptostreptococcaceae
Description: bacterial LSU rRNA
Rfam family: Bacterial large subunit ribosomal RNA
Source: RNAcentral